This is a long non-coding RNA of Asterias rubens (European starfish), 776 nucleotides long. RefSeq lists it as uncharacterized. NCBI's taxonomy places the organism in Eukaryota, Metazoa, Echinodermata, Asteroidea, Forcipulatida, Asteriidae. The transcript is spliced from 3 exons. The record is from RefSeq and is a predicted model, not a curated record.
GAAAUGUCGACUGGAGAAUCUGCUCCUCGUCGCUUCCUUUUGCUUUCGACUUCCCAUGGGCUGACAACCUCGAACUCCUGAGCUAUUUAGCAAGUUUAAGUUUGUAACGAAGAACAAAACACAAUCGCCAGAAUUCCAGAGAGUGCCGAUCUGUGACACUUAUUAAAGAUCUCCAAAUGGUAGGUAACUGACCUAUCCAUAUAGACAGUUAUCUAUUCAUUCACACAACUUCUGAAAUGUGAUAUUAUUUUUUGCUAGGGGCAAAUGUUUCAUGGAUUCUUUGAGAUCUUAUUUUCCAUUUGUGACUCUGAUCAUGAGGGUUUGACUCGGUCAAUUUUAUUUAACCGUAGAGCUAGUUUUAAAACCGGGACAUCAAAAUGUAUAACCGGCCCAUGUUGUUCCCUCAAGAGUUGGUUGCCAUUUUCAUGUGUACUUCUUAAAAUAAGUUUCUUUUAGGUGGUCGUCAAGCCAUUAGCUAUUUUUUGCCUUUAUACCAUAAGGUCCUUCUGGUUGGCGGUUUUCAUCAGCUUAUUCUAUUUUCGAAUAAAGUAAGUUUUUGUGUUAGACAAAAGUGCGUUGAAUCACGGAUUCAGAAAAUAUUGCUGUCUGGAAUUUAAUUUAAGAAUGACUCGAUUUCCACUUGAUGUUUUAGCUGCAUCUUUCGCGGGUUGAUUAAUAUUGUGUUUAUCACGGGAAGCCCAACUGGUUUGUUAAUUUCAAACUGUCUAUUAAAUAGCAAUCCCUUUUUUGUCAAUUAAACAGCAAUCCCCUUUUUU